Molecule: ribosomal RNA, 497 nt
Filed under: uncultured bacterium
Lineage: Bacteria
Description: partial 16S ribosomal RNA
Rfam family: Bacterial small subunit ribosomal RNA
Source: RNAcentral
GACGAACGCUGGCGGCGUGCCUAAUACAUGCAAGUUGAGCGCUGAAGGUUGGUACUUGUACCAACUGGAUGAGCAGCGAACGGGUGAGUAACGCGUGGGGAAUCUGCCUUUGAGCGGGGGACAACAUUUGGAAACGAAUGCUAAUACCGCAUAAAAACUUUAAACACAAGUUUUAAGUUUGAAAGAUGCAAUUGCAUCACUCAAAGAUGAUCCCGCGUUGUAUUAGCUAGUUGGUGAGGUAAAGGCUCACCAAGGCGAUGAUACAUAGCCGACCUGAGAGGGUGAUCGGCCACAUUGGGACUGAGACACGGCCCAAACUCCUACGGGAGGCAGCAGUAGGGAAUCUUCAGCAAUGGACGAAAGUCUGACCGAGCAACGCCGCGUGAGUGAAGAAGGUUUUCGGAUCGUAAAACUCUGUUGGUAGAGAAGAACGUUGGUGAGAGUGGAAAGCUCAUCAAGUGACGGUAACUACCCAGAAAGGGACGGCUAACUACGUG